CUGGCAGGCUUGAGUCCUGUAGAGGGGGGUAGAAUUCCAGGUGUAGCGGUGAAAUGCGUAGAGAUCUGGAGGAAUACCGGCGGCGAAGGCGGCCCCCUGGACAAAGACUGUCGCUCAGGUGCGAAAGCGUGGGGAGCAAACAGGAUUAGAUACCCUGGUAGUCCACGCCGUAAACGAUGUCUACUUGGAGGUUGUGCCCUUGAGGCGUGGCUUCCGGAGCUAACGCGUUAAGUAGACCGCCUGGGGAGUACGGCCGCAAGGUUAAAACUCAAAUGAAUUGACGGGGGCCCGCACAAGCGGUGGAGCAUGUGGUUUAAUUCGAUGCAACGCGAAGAACCUUACCUGGUCUUGACAUCCAC
This 359-nucleotide ribosomal RNA is filed under the name Salmonella enterica subsp. enterica serovar Albany. RNAcentral describes it as "bacterial SSU rRNA". It matches the Rfam family "Bacterial small subunit ribosomal RNA", at positions 633 to 991 of the family's 1533-position model. The record is from RNAcentral. Lineage: Bacteria; Pseudomonadati; Pseudomonadota; Gammaproteobacteria; Enterobacterales; Enterobacteriaceae.